GUGCUCCUCCAUCCCGGGGUAUUUUCAUAACAUAUAUGGGUAACUAUAUAUAGAAAAUAUACCAUGAGCAUACUGGANAUGACCCGAAAGAUGGUGAACUAUGCCUGAUCAGGUUGAAGUCAGGGGAAACCCUGAUGGAGGACCGAAGCAAUUCUGACGUGCAAAUCGAUUGUCAGA
Molecule: ribosomal RNA, 177 nt
Filed under: Pentaneurini sp.
Lineage: Eukaryota; Metazoa; Arthropoda; Insecta; Diptera; Chironomidae
Description: partial large subunit ribosomal RNA
Rfam family: Eukaryotic large subunit ribosomal RNA
Source: RNAcentral